UUAAACAAGUAAAGCAAGCUGUGAAUAUCCCGGUUAUUGGAAAUGGUGAUGUUGAAACACCGCAAGAUGCGAAGCGUAUGCUUGAUGAAAUUGGUGUAGAUGGUGUUAUGAUUGGCCGUGCUGCUCUUGGGGAUCCGUGGAUGAUUUAUCGUACGGUAAAGUAUUUAGAGACGGGUGAAUUAAUGCCGGAACCAACAGUGCGCGAGAAAAUUGAUGUAUGUAUGUUGCAUCUAGAUCGUCUUAUCGAUUUAAAGAAUGAAAAUGUUGCUGUAAGAGAGAUGAGAAAGCAUGCGGCUUGGUAUUUAAAAGGUGUUCGUGGUAAUGCGAGUGUGCGUAAUGGCAUCAAUACUUGCAACACACGUCAAGACCUUGCGAAUGUAUUAGGUGCAUUUGUAGAAGAAGUAGAAGCGAAACAACAAACAAUUUAUGUUGGUUAAUAAGGGAAUGUAGAAGAUUGACAUUCUUCUACACACUUCCUAUAAUUACGUGAAAGAAAGAAGAACUGCCAGUUAGUUGCUGGCAGUUUUUCUAGUUGAGUAGAAAAUGCUAUACUGUAUAUAUUGUAAAAAUUAAUAGAGCUGGAGUGAUAUCAAUAUCAUGGAUAACAUGAACCACGAAGAAUUAAACGACCAAUUGCUUGUUCGUCGUGAAAAGCUACAUAAUUUACGUGAGCAAGGAAUCGAUCCGUUUGGUAAACGAUUUGAACGCACAAAUUCAACAACGGACUUAGUAAGUCUAUAUGGAGAAUUCUCUAAAGAAGAAUUAGAAGAGAAAGAAAUCACUGUUUCUAUCGCUGGUCGUAUUAUGACAAAACGCGGUAAAGGAAAAGCUGGAUUCGCGCACAUUCAAGAUUUACACGGACAAGUUCAAAUUUACGUUCGUAAAGAUACUGUUGGAGAUGAAGAGUACGAAUUAUUUACGACAGCAGAUUUAGGUGACUUAGUAGGUAUUGAAGGUAAAGUGUUCAAAACGAACGUUGGAGAACUUUCAGUAAAAGCAACAGGAUUUACACUUUUAACGAAAUCCCUUCGUCCAUUACCGGAUAAAUACCAUGGAUUAAAAGAUGUUGAACAACGUUACCGUCAACGUUACUUAGACUUAAUUACAAGUAUGGAAAGUCGUGAAACAUUUGUUACUCGUAGUAAAAUCAUUCGUGAGAUGAGAAGAUAUUUAGAUGACAACGGUUAUCUUGAAGUAGAAACGCCUAUGAUGCACGCGAUUGCAGGUGGAGCAUCUGCUCGUCCUUUCACAACGCACCAUAAUGCGUUAGAUAUGGAAUUAUAUAUGCGUAUCGCAAUUGAACUUCAUUUAAAACGUCUUAUUGUGGGUGGAUUAGAAAAAGUUUAUGAGAUCGGCCGUGUAUUCCGUAAUGAGGGUGUAUCAACUCGUCAUAACCCUGAGUUUACGAUGAUUGAAUUAUAUGAAGCAUAUGCUGAUUAUAAUGAUAUUAUGAAACUAACAGAAAAUAUGGUUGCUCAUAUUGCGAAAAAAGUAUUGGGUACAACAACAAUCCAAUAUGGUGAUUAUGAAAUUAAUCUAGAACCAGAAUGGACACGUCUUCAUAUGGUAGAUGCAAUUAAGCAACACUCUGGAGCAGAUUUCUGGAAUCCAAUGAGUGUAGAAGAAGCGCGUGAACUUGCAAAAGAACAUAAUGUAGAAAUUAAGGAUACAAUGGAAGUUGGUCAUAUUAUUAAUGAGUUCUUCGAACAAAAAGUAGAAGAUAAAUUAAUCCAACCGACAUUUAUUUAUGGUCAUCCGGUAGAAAUUUCGCCACUUGCGAAAAAGAAUGACGAAGAUCCACGAUUCACAGAUCGUUUCGAGUUAUUUAUCGUUGCACGUGAACAUGCGAAUGCAUUCACUGAGUUAAAUGAUCCAAUCGAUCAAAAAGAACGUUUUGAAGCUCAAUUAAAAGAGCGCGAGCAAGGUAAUGAUGAAGCUCACAUGAUGGAUGAUGAUUAUAUCGAAGCUCUUGAGUACGGUAUGCCUCCUACGGGCGGAUUAGGAAUCGGUAUUGAUCGUUUAGUUAUGUUAUUAACAAAUGCACCAUCUAUUCGCGAUGUACUAUUAUUCCCUGCUAUGCGUCAUAAGCAAGACUAAGCUUUGGAGAUUUCUCCAAAGCUUUUUUUAUUUUACUAUGAGUGAUUUGAAGGAAGUGGGUUUUGAUAGGGAUCGUUUAGAAAUUAUAUUUAUAUAGAAGAAACAUGCUAUUUUUAUGCUUUUUUACUAAGUUAAAAAUUUUAUUAGAAAAACUAUUGCAUUUUAAUAAGCGAACUGGUAUAUUUAUAUUCGUUGCCAUGAGAGGUAACAAAAGAAACAAACGAAAAACAACUUAUUUAAAAAAAGUUGUUGACGAAAAUAUGACAAAAUGUUAUAUUGAUAAAGUCGCUUCUGAGCGACGAAGUAGUUCUUUGAAAACUGAACGAAACAAACAACGUGAAACGUCAAUUUUUAUUUUUAGAUGCUAGACAAACUAACUUUAUUGGAGAGUUUGAU
Molecule: ribosomal RNA, 2493 nt
Filed under: Bacillus toyonensis
Lineage: Bacteria; Bacillati; Bacillota; Bacilli; Caryophanales; Bacillaceae
Also listed under: 1 other name
Description: 23S ribosomal RNA
Source: RNAcentral